CAGGACUUGUACAUUACACACACAUAUAUAUUAGGUCAUCCCAUAAGUUCGUGCCGACCUUUGUGUUUACAUUUCAUAUUUAAAAAAAAAAAAAAACAAGAGAACUUUUAUCGAGACGGAAUAAUGAAAAAUGGGAAGAAGUUGUAUAACGAGAGGGGGAUUACAUUUUUUCAUGAAACUGAAAGGUAUGUAAACAAUCUUAACAUAUAUAACCGCUCGAAAAACGGCACGAACUUAUGGGAUGACCUAAUACUUUGAUGGAGAGCUUCAAGAGUAUCUAACGUUAAAUGACCAAUUAUCUCUAAAUUUUAGCAAGAAUUUAAUUUGUUCACAUUACAAGCUUCUUUAAAAGCUCACAUCUAAAGUAAUUGAAAAACGGUUUACAAACUUGGUUUCUUUCUCUAUUAUCUUGAUGAUUACCAGCAAGAUGAUCAGCAGAUGUCGAUGCAUCUUCACAGU
This 459-nucleotide unclassified non-coding RNA is filed under the name Bombus terrestris (buff-tailed bumblebee). RNAcentral's name for it is "misc RNA ENSBTSG00005031671.1". The record is from RNAcentral. Lineage: Eukaryota; Metazoa; Arthropoda; Insecta; Hymenoptera; Apidae.